Molecule: transfer-messenger RNA, 198 nt
Filed under: Paracoccaceae bacterium
Lineage: Bacteria; Pseudomonadati; Pseudomonadota; Alphaproteobacteria; Rhodobacterales; Paracoccaceae
Description: Rhodobacteraceae bacterium (activated sludge metagenome) partial transfer-messenger RNA
Rfam family: Alphaproteobacteria transfer-messenger RNA
About the family: Bacterial tmRNA, also known as 10Sa RNA or SsrA, is named for its dual tRNA and mRNA-like properties. Its role is to liberate the mRNA from a stalled ribosome.
Source: RNAcentral
CCUCUUGAGGCCGUGCGGUCCGCCCCCUAUAUUGGCCGUGUUCCCGGCAACGGGGACUAUGGACAUAAACGCGCUCGGAAUAAGCGGAUCGGACCCGGGGGCGGUACCCGGCGGCUCCACCAAAGUCCUUCAUUGGGGGCAAAUGGGGCCGAAACAGGAUCGACGAACGUCUAAAGGGGUUUGCUUUGUCCCGGUGAG